GACGAACGCUGGCGGCGUGCUUAACACAUGCAAGUCGAGCGGUAAGGCCCUUUCGGGGGUACACGAGCGGCGAACGGGUGAGUAACACGUGGGUGACCUGCCCUCAGCUCUGGGAUAAGCCUGGGAAACUGGGUCUAAUACCGGAUAUGACUCCAUGACGCAUGUUGUGGGGUGGAAAGCCUUGUGCGGCUGAGGAUGGGCCCGCGGCCUAUCAGCUUGUUGGUGGGGUGANGGCCUACCAAGGCGACGACGGGUAGCCGGCCUGAGAGGGCGACCGGCCACACUGGGACUGAGACACGGCCCAGACUCCUACGGGAGGCAGCAGUGGGGAAUCUUGCGCAAUGGGCGAAAGCCUGACGCAGCGACGCCGCGUGAGGGAUGACGGCCU
Molecule: ribosomal RNA, 388 nt
Filed under: uncultured bacterium
Lineage: Bacteria
Description: bacterial SSU rRNA
Rfam family: Bacterial small subunit ribosomal RNA
Source: RNAcentral